UAACGCGAAGAACCUUACCAAGGCUUGACAUAUGCGAGAACGCUGCAGAGAUGCAGAACUCUUUGGACACUCGCAUACAGGUGGUGCAUGGUUGUCGUCAGCUCGUGUCGUGAGAUGUUGGGUUAAGUCCCGCAACGAGCGCAACCCUCGUUCUAUGUUGCCAGCACGUAAUGGUGGGGACUCAUAGGAGACUGCCGGGGUCAACUCGGAGGAAGGUGGGGAUGACGUCAAAUCAUCAUGCCCCUUAUGUCUUGGGCUUCACGCAUGCUACAAUGGCCGGUACAAAGGGCUGCGAUACCGCGAGGUGGAGCGAAUCCCAAAAAACCGGUCUCAGUUCGGAUUGGGGUCUGCAACUCGACCCCAUGAAGUCGGAGUCGCUAGUAAUCGCAGAUCAGCAACGCUGCGGUGAAUACGUUCCCGGGUCUUGUACACACCGA
RNAcentral lists this ribosomal RNA (437 nucleotides) under uncultured bacterium. RNAcentral's name for it is "bacterial SSU rRNA". It matches the Rfam family "Bacterial small subunit ribosomal RNA", at positions 957 to 1393 of the family's 1533-position model. The record is from RNAcentral.